Molecule: transfer RNA, 85 nt
Filed under: Candidatus Omnitrophota bacterium
Lineage: Bacteria; Pseudomonadati; Candidatus Omnitrophota
Description: Candidatus Omnitrophica bacterium tRNA-Leu
Rfam family: tRNA
About the family: Transfer RNA (tRNA) molecules are approximately 80 nucleotides in length. Their secondary structure includes four short double-helical elements and three loops (D, anti-codon, and T loops).
Source: RNAcentral
GCCGGGAUGGCGGAAUGGCAGACGCAUCGGACUUAAAAUCCGAUGUCCUGCAAGGGACGUGCCGGUUCAAGUCCGGCUCCCGGCA